AGCGAACGCUGGCGGCAGGCCUAACACAUGCAAGUCGAACGAACCUUUCGGGGUUAGUGGCGGACGGGUGAGUAACACGUGGGAACGUGCCUUUAGGUUCGGAAUAACUCAGGGAAACUUGUGCUAACACCGAAUGUGCCCUUCGGGGGAAAGAUUAAUCGCCUUUAGAGCGGCCCGCGUCUGAUUAGCUAGUUGGUUGAGGUAAUGGCUCACCAAGGCGACGAUCAGUAGCUGGUCUGAGAGGAUGAUCAGCCACAUUGGGACUGAGACACGGCCCAAACUCCUACGGGAGGCAGCAGUGGGGAAUCUUGCGCAAUGGGCGAAAGCCUGACGCAGCCAUGCCGCGUGAAUGAUGAAGGUCUUAGGAUUGUAAAAUUCUUUCACCGGGGACGAUAAUGACGGUAACCGGAGAAGAAGCCCCGGCUAACUUCGUG
RNAcentral lists this ribosomal RNA (434 nucleotides) under uncultured bacterium. Its description in RNAcentral is "partial 16S ribosomal RNA". It matches the Rfam family "Bacterial small subunit ribosomal RNA", at positions 29 to 507 of the family's 1533-position model. The record is from RNAcentral.